RNAcentral lists this ribosomal RNA (423 nucleotides) under uncultured bacterium. Its description in RNAcentral is "bacterial SSU rRNA". It matches the Rfam family "Bacterial small subunit ribosomal RNA", at positions 207 to 622 of the family's 1533-position model. The record is from RNAcentral.
AAGACCUUGCACUUUUGGAGCGGCCGAUGUCUGAUUAGCUAGUUGGUGGGGUAAUGGCCUACCAAAGCUUCGAUCAGUAGCUGGUCUGAGAGGACGGCCAGCCACACUGGGACUGAGACACGGCCCAGACUCCUACGGGAGGCAGCAGUGGGGAAUUUUGGACAAUGGGCGCAAGCCUGAUCCAGCCAUGCCGCGUGAGUGAAGAAGGCCUUCGGGUUGUAAAGCUCUUUCAGUCGAGAAGAAAAAGCUGCAGUGAAUAACUGUAGUUCAUGACGGUAUCGACAGAAGAAGCACCGGCUAACUACGUGCCAGCAGCCGCGGUAAUACGUAGGGUGCGAGCGUUAAUCGGAAUUACUGGGCGUAAAGCGUGCGCAGGUGGUUUUGCAAGUCAGAUGUGAAAUCCCCGGGCUCAACCUGGGAACU